This 253-nucleotide ribosomal RNA is filed under the name uncultured bacterium. Its description in RNAcentral is "partial 16S ribosomal RNA". It matches the Rfam family "Bacterial small subunit ribosomal RNA", at positions 524 to 776 of the family's 1533-position model. The record is from RNAcentral.
UACAGAGGGGGCAAGCGUUGUUCGGAAUUACUGGGCGUAAAGGGCGCGUAGGCGGCCUUCUAAGUCGCACGUGAAAUCCCUGGGCUCAACCCAGGAACUGCGUCCGAUACUGGAAGGCUUGAAUCCGGGAGAGGGAUGCGGAAUUCCAGGUGUAGCGGUGAAAUGCGUAGAUAUCUGGAGGAACACCGGUGGCGAAGGCGGCAUCCUGGACCGGUAUUGACGCUGAGGCGCGAAAGCCAGGGGAGCAAACGGG